Molecule: non-coding RNA, 354 nt
Organism: Sorex araneus (European shrew)
Lineage: Eukaryota; Metazoa; Chordata; Mammalia; Eulipotyphla; Soricidae
Source: the annotation of a RefSeq genome assembly
AUGGCCUGGACCCCGCUCCUCCUGGGCCUCCUGGCUCACUGCACAGGUUCUGUAUAUUCGUAUAAGCUGAUUCAGCCGCCCUCAUUAUCUGUGAGCUUGGGAGGGGAGGCUAAGUUGACCUGUUCGGGAAACAACAUUGGUAGAUAUGCUGUUCAAUGGUACCAGCAGAAGCCAGGCGAGGCCCCUGUGCUGGUCAUCUAUGUUAAUAACAACCGGCCCUCAGGGAUCCCUGACCGCUUCUCUGGCUCCAACUCUGGCAACCUGGCCACCCUGACCAUCACGGGAGUCCAGGCUGAGGAUGAGGCCGACUAUCACUGUGCACCAGCUGGUACCAUAGAUGGCAGCGUGCAGUGA